Molecule: non-coding RNA, 90 nt
Organism: Otolemur garnettii (small-eared galago)
Lineage: Eukaryota; Metazoa; Chordata; Mammalia; Primates; Galagidae
Source: Rfam
AAGACUGUACUUUCAGGGAUCAUUUCUAUAGCUCAUUACUAGAGAAGUUUCUCUGAAUGUGUUGCAUUGAUUUGAGGAAGUGGGAAGAUU